Molecule: ribosomal RNA, 429 nt
Filed under: hydrothermal vent metagenome
Description: bacterial SSU rRNA
Rfam family: Bacterial small subunit ribosomal RNA
Source: RNAcentral
GCUCAACUUGAGAGUUUGAUCCUGGCUCAGAACGAACGCUGGCGGCAUGCCUAACACAUGCAAGUCGAACGCUAAGCAUUCUUCGGAAUGUUGAUAGUGGCGCACGGGUGAGUAACGCGUGGGGACCUACCUUUUAGUACGGAAUAACCGUUGGAAACGGCGGCUAAUACCGUAUACGCCCCUUUUAUUGAUUUAGGGGGGGGAAAGAUUUAUCGCUAAGAGAUGGACCCGCGUUGGAUUAGAUAGUUGGUGAGGUAAUGGCUCACCAAGUCAGCGAUCCAUAGCUGGUUUGAGAAGAUGACCAGCCACAUUGGGACUGAGACACGGCCCAGACUCCUACGGGAGGCAGCAGUGGGGAAUAUUGCACAAUGGGCGCAAGCCUGAUGCAGCAAUGCCGCGUGAGUGAAGACGGCCUUAGGGUUGUAAAAC